GGUUGUGUAGUGUAGUGGUUAUCACUUCAGAUUGUUUGUGCUCCAUUCGCUACCUAUUUACCUUCUAUAAUUUACUAAUCCUAUCUAGUUGAUUAUAACUCACCUUCUGAUAACCCCGUCGAACCCGGGCACGACCU
Molecule: non-coding RNA, 137 nt
Organism: Aspergillus nanangensis
Lineage: Eukaryota; Fungi; Ascomycota; Eurotiomycetes; Eurotiales; Aspergillaceae
Source: the annotation of a GenBank genome assembly